AAAUUGCAAAAAUGCGACACUUUAUGUGAAUUGCAGAAUCCGUGAACUAUCGAGUCUUUGAACGCAAGUUGCGCCCAAAUCCAUUAGGCUGAGGGCUCGUCUGCCUG
This 107-nucleotide ribosomal RNA is filed under the name Capsicum annuum. RNAcentral's name for it is "5.8S ribosomal RNA". It matches the Rfam family "5.8S ribosomal RNA", at positions 40 to 147 of the family's 154-position model. From Rfam's summary of the family: 5.8S ribosomal RNA (5.8S rRNA) is a component of the large subunit of the eukaryotic ribosome. It is transcribed by RNA polymerase I as part of the 45S precursor that also contains 18S and 28S rRNA. Functionally, it is thought that 5.8S rRNA may be involved in ribosome translocation. The record is from Rfam by way of RNAcentral. Lineage: Eukaryota; Viridiplantae; Streptophyta; Magnoliopsida; Solanales; Solanaceae.